Callithrix jacchus (white-tufted-ear marmoset) is the source of this 1056-nucleotide non-coding RNA. NCBI's taxonomy places the organism in Eukaryota, Metazoa, Chordata, Mammalia, Primates, Cebidae. The record is from RefSeq and is a predicted model, not a curated record.
CAGCGCUGCGAGACGCCCCGGACGCGCGGAGCCCGGUUCCCAGCGCUGCGGCCGGAGGGCGGGCUGGAGGCGGGCGGGGGCGGGGGCGCGCUCACCCUGCCUCGCCCGGCCCCUCGGCGCGGCCCCCGCCCCCUGCGCCGCCGCUGCCAACCCGGAAGGAGCCCCGAGGGGCCCGGGCGCCCCCGUCAGGAGGCCCGCCAGGUGUCCACCUGAGCUCCACGCCCUGCGCCUUGCCCCGCGUGGCUCUUUGGGAGGCGGAGUGCCAGCUCCGAGGUGUCCUCCCGCAGGAUAUAGACUGGGAAACCGAGGCCCGGGUCACGGUCCUAGACGCAGCCGGGACCUGAACCCGCCUCACCUGAGCUAAUGAUACCGGGGACUCAUCCUUUUUCAACACCUUUGCGGGAUCCAGCCCUCCAGGUGUUGAAACCAAGGCACAAAGAGGAGCUGUCAUUUACCUAAAGCACCCUGGCAGGGUGUUGGCAGAGCCAGAAUUUGAACCUAGAUCUCCUGACUUCGGAGAGUAUCAGCACUGAUUUCACCAUAUGUAACAAAACAAAGUCUUGCUUUUUCAUCCAGACUGGAGUGCAGUGGUGCAAUCUCGGCUUACUGCAACCUCCGCCUCCCACGUUCAAGCCAUUCUCCUGCCUCAGCCUCCUGAGUAGCUGGGAUUAUAGACAUGCACCACCAUGCUUGGCUAAUUUUUGUAUUUUUAGUAGAGACAGGGUUUCAACCAUGCUGGCCAGGCUGGUCUUGAACUCCUGACCUCAGAUGAUCCUCCCACCUUGGCCACCCAAAAUGCUGGGAUUAUGUCAUGAGCCACUGCACCAGGCCACAAUUUCUGCAUAGAACAAAAGCACAGCUGACUCUUGAACAACAUGAAUUUAAACUGCUGGGUCCAUUUAUAUGUGGAUUUUCUUCCACCUCUGUCACCCCUGAGACAGCAAGACCAGCUAUUCUUCUUCUUCCUCCUCCUCCUCCUCCUCAGCCUGCUCAACAUGAAGACAAGGAUGAAGACCUUUAUGAUGAUCCACUUCCACUUAAUAAAUAGCAAAUAUA